UGGGGAAUAUUGGACAAUGGGCGAAAGCCUGAUCCAGCAAUGCCGCGUGAGUGAAGAAGGCCUUAGGGUUGUAAAGCUCUUUUACCCGGGAUGAUAAUGACAGUACCGGGAGAAUAAGCCCCGGCUAACUCCGUGCCAGCAGCCGCGGUAAUACGGAGGGGGCUAGCGUUGUUCGGAAUCACUGGGCGUAAAGCGCACGUAGGCGGCUUUCCAAGUCAGGGGUGAAAUCCCGGGGCUUAACCCCGGAAUUGCCUUUGAAACUGGAUCGCUUGAAUCUGGGAGAGGUGAGUGGAAUUCCGAGUGUAGAGGUGAAAUUCGUAGAUAUUCGGAAGAACACCAGUGGCGAAGGCGGCUCACUGGACCAGUAUUGACGCUGAGGUGCGAAAGCGUGGGGAGCAAACA
RNAcentral lists this ribosomal RNA (402 nucleotides) under uncultured Sphingomonas sp. RNAcentral's name for it is "bacterial SSU rRNA". It matches the Rfam family "Bacterial small subunit ribosomal RNA", at positions 355 to 774 of the family's 1533-position model. Lineage: Bacteria; Pseudomonadati; Pseudomonadota; Alphaproteobacteria; Sphingomonadales; Sphingomonadaceae. RNAcentral also lists the same sequence under 1 other name. The record is from RNAcentral.